Molecule: long non-coding RNA, 452 nt
Organism: Lolium rigidum
Lineage: Eukaryota; Viridiplantae; Streptophyta; Magnoliopsida; Poales; Poaceae
Exons: 3
Source: RefSeq, a predicted model, not a curated record
UCUGUAUAAGCUAAUCAUAAUUGCAGAAACUGAAAAUUCAAAAUGAAUGUUAAUUCAGACAGGAACUCAAAUAGUGAUAGACAAUUUACCUUGUUUAUCAGUUGCUGGCUCCGUUGGCUCAUAUAUUCCAUGUGGAUCCGACUCCUCAUCAUGGGCUGUUGGUGUGUGAUAGUUGAACUUGAUUGGAAGGUGUACAUGGUGAUCUUUGGCUUGAACCGCUGGAGUCCCUCACAAUGCCAGAUUGGUCUGAUAAGGUAAUGCUGAUGGGCCAUAUACCAUGCCGACAAAGAUGUUGAUUUUGUGUGAGGACAUGAUCACCGGCCUCAAAGAUUCAAGAUGAGCGAGGCGGUGAGGGUUGGCAAUCAAAUUCGUCAGAUUACACGUGUGCACCGUUGCUGACAUGCAGUUGCACAUGAGAGGUACAUAUGUGAUCAUAUUUUACCAGGUGAAGU